This 253-nucleotide ribosomal RNA is filed under the name uncultured bacterium. Its description in RNAcentral is "partial 16S ribosomal RNA". It matches the Rfam family "Bacterial small subunit ribosomal RNA", at positions 524 to 776 of the family's 1533-position model. The record is from RNAcentral.
GACGAACCACACAAACGUUAUUCGGAAUCACUGGGCUUAAAGGGUGCGUAGGCUGCGCGGAAAGUUGGGUGUGAAAUACCUCGGCUCAACCGAGGAACUGCGCUCAAAACUACCGUGCUUGAGGGAGACAGAGGUGAGCGGAACUUAGGGUGGAGCGGUGAAAUGCGUUGAUAUCCUAAGGAACACCCGUGGCGAAAGCGGCUCACUGGGUCUCUUCUGACGCUGAGGCACGAAAGCUAGGGUAGCGAACGGG